Molecule: ribosomal RNA, 408 nt
Filed under: uncultured microorganism
Description: bacterial SSU rRNA
Rfam family: Bacterial small subunit ribosomal RNA
Source: RNAcentral
CAGCCGCCGCGGUAAUACGUAGGGGGCGAGCGUUGUCCGGAAUCACUGGGCGUAAAGGGCGCGUAGGCGGUUAGCUAAGUCUGGUGUCAAAGCCCACGGCUUAACCGUGGAGGGGCACUGGAAACUGGCUGACUUGAGUGCAGGAGAGGGAAGCGGAAUUCCACGUGUAGCGGUGAAAUGCGUAGAGAUGUGGAGGAACACCAGUGGCGAAGGCGGCUUCCUGGUCUGUCACUGACGCUGAGGCGCGAGAGCGUGGGGAGCGAACAGGAUUAGAUACCCUGGUAGUCCACGCCGUAAACGCUGAGUGCUAGGUGUUGGGGGUUCAUACCCUCAGUGCUGAAGGUAACCCAAUAAGCACUCCGCCUGGGGAGUACGGCCGCAAGGCUGAAACUUAAAGGAAUUGGCGGG